AGUAAUGUCUGGGAAACUGCCUGAUGGAGGGGGAUAACUGCUGGAAGCGGUAGCUAAUACCGCAUAACGUCGCAAGACCAAAGAGGGGACCUUCGGGCCUCUUGCCAUCGGAUGUGCCCAGAUGGGAUUAGCUAGUAGGUGGGGUAACGGCUCACCUAGGCGACGAUCCCUAGCUGGUCUGAGAGGAUGACCAGCCACACUGGAACUGAGACACGGUCCAG
This 221-nucleotide ribosomal RNA is filed under the name uncultured bacterium. Its description in RNAcentral is "partial 16S ribosomal RNA". It matches the Rfam family "Bacterial small subunit ribosomal RNA", at positions 109 to 334 of the family's 1533-position model. The record is from RNAcentral.